GGGCGGACUGCGACUGCUCUUUGGAGCAGUACACCUGACUGUCCCAGCCAUUGGAGAGAGCCCAGUGCUGGUAGCCUUCGACCGGGAUGAGCGCGUCGUGACGCGGCUCCGGGUGCCCGCUGAUCCCGGGCACCACCGACACGUCCAGGGGCACUAUGCGGCCAAAGUUUAGCGGCGGUGAAAGAAAGAGAAGGAACCAAAAGUCGCUUCUUCAGGAAGACCAGCGGGAGAUGGAGCCCCCAGAGCGACUCCUGUGGCAGGGGGCGCCGGAGGGGAAAGCUCCCGGCAAAAAUGUGCAUCUCGCUGGGACACAAAUAAAAUCAAAUGAAACACUCCAGGAGAAUAGGCAGCAAUGGAAACGUAGUAAUUACAUCUCCGAGGCGAUCCCGCCCCAGAAAGCCGGGCGCUGGAACCCUCCGCACCACGCGGCCACACCCGCCCGGCUUCGCCUAGGGGCCACGGGGCUUCGCUGCGGAUGCAGUUCGGAGAAAACCAAGAGAAACGAAAGGAAGUGUGGCUCCUGGGUUUCCAGGAAGAAAGGGUUUCCAGGGCGGAAGACGGAGCAGUAAAUGACACCGAAGAAAAGUGGAAAAUGGCCCCUGGGGCUCCUCGGGGGAGCCUUGCUCUGCGCUGCCGGUGCCACACCAGUCCUCAGCUCCUUCUUUGAACCGGGAAAUGCUUUCUUUCAAAUGCGCCAACGCAUCAAGCCUGCAUCUAACGUGCCUUUCCCCCCUAGAAGUGUGCGCGGGGGGCAGGCAUGCCUGCGGGUUUGUGGACGUGUGUAAACUGCAGCCGCGUGGGUCCUGCAAUGCUCUGCAGACUUGGCCCAAAUGUGUGCCCAGAGAUACACCAUUCCAAUAAAGGUCUCCCUGGCUGGCUGCUUCUCUGCUCAUAUAGGCGUUUCGUG
Molecule: non-coding RNA, 907 nt
Organism: Oryctolagus cuniculus (rabbit)
Lineage: Eukaryota; Metazoa; Chordata; Mammalia; Lagomorpha; Leporidae
Source: RefSeq, a predicted model, not a curated record